CCCACCCUCAAGUGAUCCACCCGCCUCAGCCUCCCAAAGUGCUGGGAUUAGAGGCGUGAGCCACGAUGCCAGGCCUAACUCUGUCUUUUUCAUAGACUCUGUAACAAACCCAUUUUGUUAUUAAGAGCAACGCUGUAGAACAAUGAAAGAGUCCAACUUAGAAGUCCUGCUGUGCCCUUUUCUGGGCACCUUUUUAAAGUCACAUAAUGUCUCUAACUUGUAUCUUCAGUUAAGAGCGAGGGCUUUGGGGCAGUGGACUGAGUUUGAAUUCUGGCCUUGUCCAGCUGUGAGGCCUUGUGCAAGUUACUUAACCUCCCCGAAGUCACUUUCCUUACCAGUAGAAUGGGAAUCAUUCCUGUGUCUCUACCUGUCUACUCGAUUAGAUCUUGGAAAAGGUCUCCUCUACUCAUGGUGUAUAGUCAACACCAAAAACAAAUACCUGCAAGAGAUGAAGGGUCGCUUAUGUUUUUGACUCUGUAAUGAUUUCACCAGGAGAAUCCUCAGUAUACAAGUAAACAUCCACUAGGCAUGGUCUUUAUUUGCACAGCCUUUGUGCUGGCUCAGGUUGUUACUCUGAUUACUGAUUUUUCCUCGAGAGGAAGUAUAACAUAAUGGCUUAGCGCUCAGACCUGGAAGCUAGAUUAAAUCCUAGCACUGCCCUUACUAGCCAUGUGAUCUUGGGAAAACUACUUAAAACCUCUCUGAGCCUGUUUCCCCAUCUCUAAAACGGGCUUAAUCCAGAGUAUCUACCCCAUAGGUUGGUUGUGAGAAUUAAAUAAGCUCUUACAUGUAAAGCAGAGUGUUUUGGCACACAGUGUGCAGUGUUAGUUGGUAUUAUCAUCUUCAGGGCAUCUCUAGGGGACGAACUCCAAAAGCCAUGGGUGCGUGUGUGUGUGUGUACAUGUGUGUACACACGUGUGUUUGCACACACAUUCACGCACGUGUAUAUGUGUGUUCAUGGCAUACAGAAGUCUCCUUGCUUCUUUUUCUCUCUCCAGAGAUUUAAUUAUCACCUUCUUUUUUAAAGAGAAAACUAGGAUAUUUACUUCAGUGGAUGCUUUAAGGCCCAGAAUUUAUAUCAGAACCCUUGCUUCUACUGAGCUAAUCUUGCCCUUAAACUUCUAUGUAGUGUUUCUUCUGUGAAGCCACAGUUCUAUCAUUCCUCCAGGAAGAGAUUGAAGUACUCAUGGAGCAUCUCCUGUGCAGAGGCAGUAGGAUGGGAAGCCAGCAUAGGUUCUCCCUAAAGGUAGAGUGAGUGAAUGGAAAUAACUGGGAAGAAAACAGAAAGAAAAGGCAAAAAAAGAGGUAUGUAUGAAGGUGGCAAACAGAUAUCUUGGGUGGUCAUUUCCAUUUUGCUGUGGUCUUCAUAGCAUGGCCUGUUACCAGGCAAUAAAUUUCAAAUUGUUGGUGUGGAAAAUGUGAUAAUGCAAAGGAAUAGGAUCCUUUGCUUUCAUUAUUUCAAAAAUAAGUGCCAAUUACUCUCAAAGACAGGGUAAGAAGUAUUCCUGGAGCAAGCUGGAAUUUGUCCCUUUGGGAGCCAAGGCCACAGCUUCUGGUACUUUGCACACAGACCUGCAGUCCCACUAGGGAGGGGCUGCUGUGUCUGCAGCCAGGCCGAUGCCAGCCUCACAUGCCCACCCCUUCCUGGCCCUGGAGCCAGCUCUCUGUACCACUCCUUAUGUUGCUCUUUGCUCUUCCCUUCAUCUUUCUCCUCUAUUUUCCUUCUCUCACCAUUACAGAGAGGUCAUCCUGAAGUGUCUGGGCUGCAGUAGGAGCUGCCAAACAUUCACGAACCACCACGUUCACAUUAGAUGCAGAGAUAAAACUGCACAAAGUCUCAAUACACUAUUUUGCAUCACUCAUCUGGGACAAAGUAAAAUUUUUCAAAGUCAACUCAAAAGAGGAAAACAAAAGUGAGUGGAAUAUAAACAGUACGGCAUGUGGCACCUGAACAGUCUUCAUGCCCAGGAAUCCCAAAUGCUGUUUACUCUACAGAAAGGAAUCACUUGAUUUUCCACUUCAGAAGCCAACCGCUCAACAACACUGGGGAAGAAAUGAAGAAUCCUGGGUCUCCUUGUAGUCGAUCAAGAAAUUUUGGGGGGAAAAAGGGAAGACAACCCCUAAUUCAGAGUGUGCAGUUUGGGAUUUAUUGAACUUACUUGAAAAACAAAAGCAAACAAAACUUUUUCUCGCUUCUGUAAAUGUUCACAUUUUCUUUUAAAAAUAAUGAUGCAGUAUUGCAAAUGGCUUACA
RNAcentral lists this long non-coding RNA (2253 nucleotides) under Homo sapiens (human). RNAcentral describes it as "HSALNT0314157". The record is from RNAcentral. Lineage: Eukaryota; Metazoa; Chordata; Mammalia; Primates; Hominidae.